UCAUGGUUGACCAACAGCCCCAAACAUCUAAAUAAGCUACCAGCCAAACAAGCUUGGAAGAAUUCUACCUAAACUCCCCCCUCACACUCAUCUCGAGAUUGAGAAUUUUUUUUCACCUCGAUCUCUGUAAUGUGUCUGUAUCUCUGUAAUGUGUCUUGUAUCUAUGUAAUCGUUUAUGUGUUCAUGCAAAACAUAGGGACCACAAUGUAAGGGAUCUCGUCCUCGUCCUCCUCUGAGGAGAAGCGAGAAGGAUCGGAGGACCAAAACGCAGCGUGAUCAAACUUGAACUUCCUCCUUGUCAACUGACACCUCAACUACCCAUCUUGAGGAAGAACAGAAGAGGAAAGGGGAAGUGGGAAAGGCAACAAAUGAAUAGAUGGUGUGAACUUGUCAUAUCCUUUACCUCACUUGUAGCUGUCACAAUUAGAUGCGCUGCGGUUUCAACAACUUGAGUGGGGGUCACUUUCCUUAAGCUAGAAGUGAAAACCACUCUAGAUAGCACCAUGCAAGAUUACAUUACCUUAACAAAUAACAAUAGCUUUUGCUCUCAUUCUAUAGUAUGCGGGCAAUGUAUGUCUAUGUGGACAAAUUGUUGCAGCUAUUCAUCUGUCUGUAUUGGUGACCUGUUCAAAGGUUGUGUUUUCCCUACAGAUGGAUUAGGGCUAUGUACGUACAUGCAUAGAUAACUGAUCUCAGGACAGGUUUAUCUGGAAGUGUUAGCCUUUAGCACUGUUUCUUCACUGCUGAUUGCAUUGACAGUGAGAAGAUAGCAUAUCCAAUCCAUAGGCGUAGCCUGAUUUGUAUUAGUAGGCUAUUCCCAGCCACCUCUCAUUUAGAGUAAAUGGCAAACUGAAAAGCAUAUGAACUUGGUAGCAUAUAGGGUUACAAAGCUACUGGUAAAUUUACCAAAGUUACCGUAAUAUUCAGUAAUUUGAGUAAUUAACAGAAAAUGAUGGCAAUCCAGCAUAACUUUAUUAUAUCUGUGUGUACAUAUUGUCCAUGAGUUUCUGGUUGAUAGAGCAUUUGGUUCAAGUGAAAAUAGCCUAAAUAAUGGAAAAAUAAUCUAAUUAACAAGGGCUUCAUUUUCAAUUAACUCUGCAACUCUUCCAACUAUUGACUUUUUUUCACAACUGCCACCAGUUUGAUGCCAAAGCAUUGACACCUACAUAUUGACAUAGUAAAAUAAAUGUUUGUAAACAUUUUUUAUGUAUAAUAAAAAAGGGUGUUUCAUGCUGAAACUCUCAUAUUGAUCACCAAUGGUAUUCAAGUUGAUUGUUUAGAUUUAGCAUAAUGUUUUACAGCUUUGCCAUUCUUUUUAACAUUUUAAAAUCACCUCAUUCAAUUAUUUCACAUAUUUUACAUGCAAUAAGGCCGCACAGAGGGCCAGAGAUUAUUACAGACACGUGGAAAUCUGAAAAUCUCAAAAGGGCCACUAGAUAUCUUUUGAUAGAUUACAUAAAAUCCUUGAAAGAUAAAGAAAUUCUAACGUUUCCAGUAAUAUACCCAACCUUUUUAACUCUAGUAGCACGUCUGCGUUCAGGUUUGGUUUUUGACCCCUUCCUUAUUCUUGGAGAAGGCAUUUCAGAUGAUCCCAUCAGAAAUGUGCAGUGUAUAGACUUUUGAAGGCCUUACUGGAUUGAGGAAAAGUAGGCUAUUGAAGUAGUGAGGUUGACUUAACACUAUAAACCUCACAUUUCAAAUACAAGGUUUAAGGAAGUGUUUGCAAUGCUCUUCGUGUCCAUCCUGUGUCCAUAUAUUAAAAACUUCUCAAUAAAACCUCGUCAGCUAUCCUUACAUGAAGGGACAAAUUGCAAAAGGAGAUUUCUGGAGUUCACUUGUAAUACAAGGCCUUUCUGAUGCAAUCCGGUCACAUCUGACAUCAUAAAAAUGGAUACCCAUUUGGGGAUAAGAAUGGCAAGUAUUGGUGCACACUCAAGUGUAUACAGAGCAGAGGAAAGACGGGUAACCGUGGCAACCUUGCCAGUGAGUAAACACAAGGGUGAGCACAGGGCGUCCGUAGAGAGGAAUGUCAAAUAUGCACAGGCACUUGACCACACAGCUAGGUUACAGCUCAGCUCCCUAUCUAAUGGUCAACACACCAACUUCAGUAUAUCCACAUGGCUAGUUAUGAAACUGAGCUCAAUACAUGCAGGAUGAGGACUAAGUUGUUGUUUUGGGUCAAAUGCCUUCAGUGACUGACAGUAUUUUGGGGCCAAAUACAGUAUCACCCAUUUGUGUUGACAUAGCAGCCAUCUAUAGAUAGAUAUAGACUGGUUUCUCACAGCGAGAAAACGAGGGUAUAGACUGGUUUCUAUUUUUGUAUUGUUUAAGCACAAAAUACAGUUUGAUAAUAUGAUAAGUUAUGUGUUGUGUGUAUCUUUGCAUAAACCAUGCAUUCUGCCCUCAUGCCUCAUUGAAUCAAACUUGCAGCAAGCUGUAAAACAGACAAAAAGACCAUUAAAUGCAAGGAAUUACAUUUCUUUAUCAUUUUCAUUUAUUUCUCCUGUUCAGGCGAUCAAAAAAUAAAUUCGUACUUUUCUUCUUAAUAAUUCACACAUCGUUUUCACAGACCCUGACAUGUUCUUGAUAAAUAAGUACAAAAUGCAUUGGUAUUAACACAAUAAAUAUCAUAAUAAAUAUAUUAGUUAAGUCUAUACAAUUACAAAAAGGCAAAUAAGUCAACCUAUAGUCUAUGGAAAUACUGUGAUGUUACAGUCCCUGAUGAAAUUAGAAGUCACCUACUACAGUUGAGUAAGACCCAACCAGGGUUGUCAAAACAUUAUGCAACAAAACAGGUCUCUAAAUAAAUGGCAAGGCUACACAAAUACCCCCUCCUAGAUCUGUGACAUGCACAGACGGCGUACUAGCACCUUCUCACUUUUGUCACAGAUGUGUUAAAAUAUAAUGGACCCCCCCCAAAAAAAAUGGAAAAACUGCUCUUACACAAAUAAUGUAGCAAAUGUAGAAAAGUAAGUAUAAAGCUUUGGUUAAAUGCUACAUAGAGAGACUAGGCUCCCAAUACCUAUUUUAAAGUGCAUAUCACAGUGAGAGAAUGUCUUGUCAUUUUUCAAGUCACAUUGAUGGUUUGAAUAUUUUCAACAGUUUUUUUGGUAUACACAUUAAUACCAACAGUAUGAACAGAUCUGACAAAUAGUUCUGGCAGCUUACUAAAUGGAGGGGAGUCUUUUGUUUCAUAUGAUCAUAUAUUUGAAGGACUAAUCGAAGUAAUCCAGCUAAAGUAAGGCCCUUCUCAUAAUGAUUGAGACAGGUAAAGGCACUUAAAACGUCUGUUACUAUCAUAACCAUCAAGGUCAUUU
This is a long non-coding RNA of Oncorhynchus keta (chum salmon), 3317 nucleotides long. RefSeq lists it as uncharacterized. The transcript has 2 exons. The record is from RefSeq and is a predicted model, not a curated record. Lineage: Eukaryota; Metazoa; Chordata; Actinopteri; Salmoniformes; Salmonidae.